RNAcentral lists this ribosomal RNA (408 nucleotides) under uncultured bacterium. RNAcentral describes it as "partial 16S ribosomal RNA". It matches the Rfam family "Bacterial small subunit ribosomal RNA", at positions 28 to 526 of the family's 1533-position model. The record is from RNAcentral.
AUUGAACGCUGGCGGCAGGCCUAACACAUGCAAGUCGAGCGGAGCGGCGGACGGGUGAGUAACACGUGGGUGACCUGCCCUGCACUUCGGGAUAAGCCUGGGAAACUGGGUCUAAUACCGGAUAGUGGGGGAUGGGCCCGCGGCCGAUCAGCUUGUUGGUGGGGUAAUGGCCUACCAAGGCGGCGACGGGUAGCCGGCCUGAGAGGGUGGACGGCCACAGUGGGCCUGAGACACGGGCCAGACGCGUAUGGGAGGCAGCAGUGGGGAGUAUUGCACAAUGGGCGGAAGGCUGAUGCAGCGACGCCGGGUGGGGGAUGACGGGCUUCGGGUUGUAAACUCCUUUCACCAUCGACGCGGUAGAUGGAGAAGAAGCACCGGCUAACUACGUGCCAGCAGCCGCGGUAAUAC